Ornithorhynchus anatinus (platypus) is the source of this 1021-nucleotide long non-coding RNA. RefSeq lists it as uncharacterized. NCBI's taxonomy places the organism in Eukaryota, Metazoa, Chordata, Mammalia, Monotremata, Ornithorhynchidae. The record is from RefSeq and is a predicted model, not a curated record. The transcript is spliced from 2 exons.
CGAGGCUGUCUACGGACUGAACUAAUUGCUCGAGACUUCCUUGGAAAUACUUUAGAGGACUCUUCGGCCGUAUUGAUUCGAGCCAGCGCGCACGUUUCACCAGACGCUUAAGCCAACGGCCUCUUACCCUGCAGUCGCUCGUUAAGAAGGGACGGCCCGGGGGGGCACCAGGCCGCGAAGCGUCAGAGAAUACGCUGAAGCAUCGUGACCCUUCCUAACUACUUCAGCAUAGCGGAAUGACAUAAAGGCAGAAGAUGGCAGUAAAAAAAUCGAAGGGGCUUUUAUUCUAGCUACCGUAAGAUGAGGUUUCCACAUACUGAGGCAUUUUGGUUCUGCUCUUAAGUAACAUACCAAGAGACGAGGAAGAAAGAAAAUAUGUCAACAAAGUCAGUGUGUUUUCUGGCAGACUUCACAGGUAUGCUAAUGUCAACAAAGCAGUAAGCUUCAAACAAAACUCAUUUCGAUAAAGUCAUGAAGUUCCUCAUCCUGUGGCAUAAGAUAAACCUGGACCUGGGACCUAUCUCAUAUUCGGCUUCCUGGAAAACUUCACGAGCAAUCUUUCUAUGGCACCAAAAGGCACGACGAAGUUGUUAAUAAUUAGGCUUGGAACUUAGACUCCCUCUUUAAGCAAGGAAGCUAGUCCUUGCAAUUCAUCAGCUCAGAGUUACCCACUAGGAAGGAAUGGAAGCUAACAGCACAUCCUAAUAACUGUUUGGUUAAUUUGAGGAGGACAAUUGUCCAAGAGGCAAGUGGGAAAAAUGCUUGGAAAAUGAUCUUCAAGAAUGACAAUUCAAUAUUAUACAGACUCGAGGAUUUCAGUGUUGUAUUCAUAGCAGAAUUUUGAGCCUAUAAGUGGUGAACUGCCUGUCACUUUGAAAACAAAGGGAAUCUAAGUAUACACCACCUGCUGCUGGCUUGUUUUCACUUUAAUGAAAGGGCACUGAAAUUCAGCCUGGGGAAGGCGGUGUGGCCUACUGGAAAGCACCUGGGCCGAGCACGGGGCUGAGAAUUGGGAGAUCCG